This 81-nucleotide small RNA is filed under the name Salmonella enterica. RNAcentral describes it as "partial RtT sRNA". It matches the Rfam family "RtT RNA", at positions 1 to 79 of the family's 130-position model. From Rfam's summary of the family: This family represents a bacterial cis-regulatory element known as RtT RNA. The exact function of RtT is unknown although it is thought that it may be involved in changing the cellular response in relation to amino acid starvation. The record is from RNAcentral. Lineage: Bacteria; Pseudomonadati; Pseudomonadota; Gammaproteobacteria; Enterobacterales; Enterobacteriaceae.
GUUUGCACUUGUCGGGGAAGGGUGAGAACCUUCGAUUAAGGUUCGACUCGAGCGAAAGCGAGAGAACGUUGCCAACGGCAA